CCUACGGGUGGCAGCAGUGGGGAAUAUUGGACAAUGGGCGCAAGCCUGAUCCAGCAAUGCCGCGUGUGUGAAGAAGGUCUUCGGAUUGUAAAGCACUUUUGGCAGGGACGAUGAUGACGGUACCUGCAGAAUAAGCCCCGGCUAACUUCGUGCCAGCAGCCGCGGUAAUACGAAGGGGGCUAGCGUUGCUCGGAAUGACUGGGCGUAAAGGGCGCGUAGGCGGCAUGUACAGUCAGAAGUGAAAUUCCUGGGCUCAACCUGGGGACUGCUUUUGAUACGUGCAAGCUAGAGUGAGGAAGAGGGUUGUGGAAUUUCCAGUGUAGAGGUGAAAUUCGUAGAUAUUGGAAAGAACACCGGUGGCGAAGGCGGCAACCUGGUCCUUAACUGACGCUGAGGCGCGAAAGCGUGGGGAGCAAACAGGAUUAGAUACCCUAGUAGUC
This 440-nucleotide ribosomal RNA is filed under the name uncultured bacterium. Its description in RNAcentral is "bacterial SSU rRNA". It matches the Rfam family "Bacterial small subunit ribosomal RNA", at positions 338 to 795 of the family's 1533-position model. The record is from RNAcentral.